GAACAUAAGUGUAAGUUUUUGCUGUUCUUCAUAUGCUCUGUUUUGGACUCUGAGAACCAGUCACUGCCGUUAGAAGUUACAUGACUGCCAUUAAAAGUUAUGUGACUUUCAUCUUUUUUAUGACCCGUUUACAGCUGGGCGUUCUGUCCUGCUUCAUCAGGGUGCUCAGGCCCAGUUCUGCAGUUGUCUGAAUGCUUAGCCUCAGCCUACACAGGAUUUCUCUCCAUGCAUGUCCGCUGGCUGGAGUGAGCAGACAUCAAUCACUCAUGUGAAGGCACAUUCCCAUUCUAAGCUCUUCAACAUUUGAGUGGACGAUAAGCCUGGAGAUAUAUAUACAAGGUUGAGUGGUCUUUUAGAGACUUGCAUUUAUAAAGAGACCUCCAUGAAGAGAAUCUUAUCGAUGUGUUCACCUUGCUUUCUUAAGAACCCAAAGACUCCCAGCGCAGGCUGAGUCUUUGAAAUGCCAGAUCACUAUUGCAGUCUUCAGGACGG
This is a long non-coding RNA of Aethalodelphis obliquidens (Pacific white-sided dolphin), 492 nucleotides long. RefSeq lists it as uncharacterized. The transcript has 3 exons. Lineage: Eukaryota; Metazoa; Chordata; Mammalia; Artiodactyla; Delphinidae. The record is from RefSeq and is a predicted model, not a curated record.